RNAcentral lists this ribosomal RNA (816 nucleotides) under uncultured archaeon. Its description in RNAcentral is "bacterial SSU rRNA". It matches the Rfam family "Archaeal small subunit ribosomal RNA", at positions 124 to 922 of the family's 1478-position model. The record is from RNAcentral.
GGACAACCCCGGGAAACUGGGGCUAAUCCCCGAUAGGCGAAGACUCCUGGAACGGGUCUUCACCCAAAAGGUGCUAGAAUCAUGCUUUCUAGCCUCGCCCGAGGACGGGGCCGCGUCCGAUCAGGUAGUUGGUGAGGCAACGGCUCACCAAGCCUAUAACCGGUACGGGCCGUGGGAGCGGGAGCCCGGAGAUGGGCACUGAGACAAGGGCCCAGGCCCUACGGGGCGCAGCAGUCGCGCAAACUUUGCAAUACACGAAAGUGUGACAGGGCUAUCCCGAGUGCCGUCCGCUGAGGAUGGCUUUUACCCAGUCUAGAAAGCUGGGAGAAUAAGGAGAGGGCAAGUCUGGUGUCAGCCGCCGCGGUAAUACCAGCUCUCCGAGUGGUGUGGAUGUUUAUUGGGCCUAAAGCAUCCGUAGCUGGCCAAGCCAGUCCCCUGUUAAACCCAACGAAUUAAUCGUUGGAUUGCGGGGGAUACUGCUCGGCUAGGGGACGAGAGAGGCCGACGGUACUUUUGGGGUAGGGGUGAAAUCCUAUAAUCCUAAGAGGACCACCAGUGGCGAAGGCGGCCGGCCAGAACGCGCUCGACGGUGAGGGACGAAAGCUGGGGGAGCAAACCGGAUUAGAUACCCGGGUAGUCCCAGCUGUAAACGAUGCGGGCUAAGUGUCGGGAUGGUCAUAGAACCAUUCCGGUGCUGCAGGGAAGCCGUUAAGCCCGCCGCCUGGGGAGUACGGCCGCAAGGUUGAAACUUAAAGGAAUUGGCGGGGGAGCACCACAAGGGGUGAAGCUUGCGGUUCAAUUGGAGUCAACGCCGGG